Molecule: long non-coding RNA, 577 nt
Organism: Nicotiana attenuata
Lineage: Eukaryota; Viridiplantae; Streptophyta; Magnoliopsida; Solanales; Solanaceae
Exons: 3
Source: RefSeq, a predicted model, not a curated record
GUAUUGCGGUAAGGGAAGAAUACAUUUCAAAUCUCCUGAUGAGGCUUACAAUUAAUAAGUCAUGGUCUGACCCUUGAAACUUUAGGCUCGUAUAAAUGGGUACUUAUCUGAUUUUUAUAAAGUUAGAAAUUGGAAUUAUUCUUCUUCUGUUUCUUUGGAACAUAUCUCUGUGAUUUAGUGAGAGGGUAUCGAGGAUGAGUGAGCCACCAAAGUACGCGUAUCCCUACCCUGCUCAAGGAUAUUAUCAAGGUCCUCCAGUGAUGCCGCCACCACAAUAUUAUACAGCUCCUCCCCCCAGAAGGGAACCUGGCUUUCUUGAGGGAUGUCUGGCAGCUCUGUGUUGCUGUUUCCUGAUUGAUGAGUGUUGCUGCGACCCUUCCAUCCUCUUCAUCUGUUGAUAUUUAGUAUUUAAUUUCUAGCUAUCUCUUGUGAGAAGAUAUAAUAUUGUACGUGUUAAACAAUCUCUUAAUUGUCCUUGUUUCAAAUUGUUGUAUCAAUCAGCUUGUUUCCGUAGAUAAAUCUACAUAAUUGUCUUUAUAAUUAGAGAUCAGAAUAUAUAUCCUAUUUCCUUUUAAUA